This 82-nucleotide long non-coding RNA is filed under the name Capra hircus (goat). Its description in RNAcentral is "MER1 repeat containing imprinted transcript 1 conserved region 1 (ENSCHIG00000002607.1)". It matches the Rfam family "MER1 repeat containing imprinted transcript 1 conserved region 1". The record is from RNAcentral. Lineage: Eukaryota; Metazoa; Chordata; Mammalia; Artiodactyla; Bovidae.
ACGGAGCAAACGCGAGGGGCCCUGAGGAAGGGUCUGGAAAGGGGGGGGGGGUGUGUUCGACCCCCACACAAAGAAGUGGGGG